CCUACGGGGAGCAGCAGUCGAGAAUCAUUCACAAUGGGGGAAACCCUGAUGGUGCGACGCCGCGUGGGGGAAUGAAGGCCUUCGGAUUGUAAACCCCUGUCAUGUGGGAGCAAAUUAAAAAGAUAGUACCACAAGAGGAAGAGACGGCUAACUCUGUGCCAGCAGCCGCGGUAAUACAGAGGUCUCAAGCGUUGUUCGGAAUCACUGGGCGUAAAGCGUGCGUAGGCUGUUUCGUAAGCCGUGUGUGAAAGGCGCGGGCUCAACCCGCGGACGGCACAUGAUACUGCGAGACGAGAGUAAGGGAGGGGGAACCGGAAUUCUCGGUGUAGCAGUGAAAUGCGUAGAUAUCGAGAGGAACACUCGUGGCGAAGGCGGGUUCCUGGACAUUAACUGACGCUGAGGCACGAAGGCCAGGGGAGCGAAAGGGAUUAGAUACCCCUGUAGUC
RNAcentral lists this ribosomal RNA (446 nucleotides) under uncultured bacterium. Its description in RNAcentral is "partial 16S ribosomal RNA". It matches the Rfam family "Bacterial small subunit ribosomal RNA", at positions 338 to 795 of the family's 1533-position model. The record is from RNAcentral.